CAUGGCAGCCCACACUGCAGCCACCCUCUUGGUCCUGCUGCUCUGCUGCUGGCGGGGAGCGGACCUCCAGCCACUGAACAUGACCACAGGUCAAACCACUGACCUGAGAACCGGUUCGAAAGACCACGAGGACAUACCUGGAGUAUUUGAUGAAAUCCUAGUCCAAGAGAUUCUGGAACCCAAUAAAUCGACGUCUAAAAUGCCAACGGCAGGAACAACGCUAUCAACAAGAAUAUUCAAGGAAAAAAAAGCCAGCCUCGAGGAGGAGGACGCCCCGUCGGCUGCUUCCGAGGGUCACCGUGUGCUCUCGGCGGUUCUCCCCGUCUCUCUCGGCCCUGAGGACAAGAUGGUCAACAACGAACCCAGUACUGACGACACCUACCAAGUCGGCGAGCCCGAGGGCUCCCCGGAGCCGCAGUACCCCCCCGGCGUGGGAGACGUACUUCAGAAUAACGGAAAGAAGAAAUCGAAAAAUGAUCAGCACGAGAAACAAUCAGUUCUGGACAGGAUCCUGCAAAAUACUGAAAAAUCUCCAGGAAACUCCGUCCAGUAAAUGGAGGAGAGCGAGGCCCAGAGGAGGCGUGGAGAGCAGCCCGUGAGGCCGCUGGCUCCGAGGAGCCGCCACACAGGACGCACGG
This 638-nucleotide long non-coding RNA is filed under the name Sus scrofa (pig). Its description in RNAcentral is "lncRNA (ENSSSCG00050073526.1)". Lineage: Eukaryota; Metazoa; Chordata; Mammalia; Artiodactyla; Suidae. The record is from RNAcentral.